UACGUAGGGUGCGAGCGUUUAAUCGGAAUUACUGGGCGUAAAGCGUGCGCAGGCGGUUUUGUAAGCCAGAUGUGAAAUCCCCGGGCUUAACCUGGGAAUGGCAAUGGAUACUGGCAGGCUAGAGUGCGGUAGAGGGUAGUGGAAUUCCCGGUGUAGCGGUGAAAUGCGUAGAGAUCGGGAGGAACACCAGUGGCGAAGGCGGCUACCUGGACCAGCACUGACACUGAGGCACGAAAGCGUGGGGAGCAAACAGGG
RNAcentral lists this ribosomal RNA (255 nucleotides) under uncultured bacterium. Its description in RNAcentral is "partial 16S ribosomal RNA". It matches the Rfam family "Bacterial small subunit ribosomal RNA", at positions 524 to 777 of the family's 1533-position model. The record is from RNAcentral.